AACCGUAAACCUAAAUAUCUAUCAACAAAGCUAUUCGCCAGAGUACUACAAGCAACAGCUUAAAACUCAAAGGACUUGGCGGUGCUUUAUAUCCCUCUAGAGGAGCCUGUUCUAUAAUCGAUAAACCCCGAUAAACCUCACCACCCCUUGCUAAUCCAACCUAUAUACCGCCAUCCUCAGCAAACCCUGCUAAGGCAACAAAGUAAGCAAAAGAGUUGCACGCUAAAACGUUAGGUCAAGGUGUAGUCUAUGAGGUGGGAAGAAAUGGGCUACAUUUUCUACUCAUCAUAGAACAGUAUAACGCUAGCCUGAAUGAAAUUAUGGCGAAAGGCGGAUUUAGCAGUAAAUUAAGAAUAGAGAGCUUAAUUGAAUAGGGCAAUGAAGC
This 385-nucleotide ribosomal RNA is filed under the name Galago senegalensis (Senegal galago). RNAcentral's name for it is "partial 12S ribosomal RNA". It matches the Rfam family "Bacterial small subunit ribosomal RNA", at positions 798 to 1380 of the family's 1533-position model. Lineage: Eukaryota; Metazoa; Chordata; Mammalia; Primates; Galagidae. The record is from RNAcentral.